Molecule: non-coding RNA, 169 nt
Filed under: Lawsonibacter asaccharolyticus
Lineage: Bacteria; Bacillati; Bacillota; Clostridia; Eubacteriales; Oscillospiraceae
Description: malK-I RNA
Rfam family: malK-I RNA
Source: RNAcentral
GGAACUACUCCAUUCUUCAUAGUCCUCGGACCCAUAAAAAAGGAGGAAGAAAAGACCGCCGGCCGGCGGUGCGGCAGUGUGGAGACCUGUCGUAAGCCCCGGGAGGGACAGUCCGUCCGGGGGAGGGGCCUGCUGCGGAGGCAGAGGUCUCACGGCCAGAAGCCAUGUC